GAAAGAACGGAAAUAACCUCUGAAAGACAGAAACAUACGGCAGAAAGUUAGGUGACAGGUCAAGAACAAGCACGGAAAGAACGGAAAGAACGGAAAGAACCUCCAGAGAGACAGAAACAUACGGCAAAAUAUUAGAUGACAGGUCAAGAACAACAACGGAAAUAACAGAAAAAUCCGAAAAAAGGGAAAUAAUAACGGAAAUAACAGAAAAGAAUAACGGAAAUAAUAACAAAAAUAACGGAAAAAACGGAAAAAACGGAAAUAACGGAAAGAACCUGCAGAGAGACAGAAACAUACGGCAGAAAAUUAGGUGACAG
This 317-nucleotide long non-coding RNA is filed under the name Gallus gallus (chicken). Its description in RNAcentral is "lncRNA (ENSGALG00010006768.1)". Lineage: Eukaryota; Metazoa; Chordata; Aves; Galliformes; Phasianidae. The record is from RNAcentral.